GUAAUGUUCUUUCUCAUUCCUUUUCAGUUAUGUGUUGAUGGUUAACAGCUUACACCCUAAAUUAAAAGUUGUUAGCUAUUUUGUACUCAGUAAGUGAAUAACCUAAAUUAACCAUCAUAUCUUGCUUAUUUUGAAACUUACUCAGACUUUCAAUGACACUAUUUUUAAAAGUUUUAGGCUCAGCUUUCCAGGUCAGUAUAUUUCUGACAUUUGUUGUUUGCUUUUGUACAGUAUGCUGAAGGUUUUUAAUCGAGCUGAGGCGUUUGACGACCAUACCUCCAAUACUAAGUAGUUUGAUUAUGGUGGUUCUUCUUCUUCCAAGGCUUUUCCGAACCCAAAGCAUUCUUGAUUAUGAUCUGUAUACUUACAAAUUCGGAACAAUAUUGGGCUGCGAUCCAAGACCCAGAGGGAUGUCAUUAAAGGUUUGACGAAUCUGUGAAUGUCAAGCAGCUUGAGAACAUAUUGUGAUCCAUGUCAACUUCCACUAUCGGAUAGCCUAUCCGCAGCAAAGCGCGGGCACGCUUUCUAGUUUUCUUUUGUUCUUUGGUUGAUGAUAAGUGUUAUUCAAUUGAUCAAACAUGUUUAUCAGCUAUAUAUGUAUUUGAAUCUGGUAUUCAUGUUUUGGUGCAUUUUAUAUAAAAUUUAUUAUUUGGCUUCUUCUGCUCCAAAGAUAAAAAUCUGGUAUGCAAAAUUGCAUGCCAGGUUUUUUUUUUAUCAAUGAUAUGCACUUUGCGACGGCAUUGUUGCCGUCGCCAAAGACCUGACUGCAAAAUUGUAGAUGGCGUAGCCAUUGCUCUUUGCGACGGCAUAAAUACCGUCGCCAAAAUUCAUGCGACAGCGUAAUUGCCGUCGCAAAUAGCAAUGGCGACGCCACCAACG
Rosa rugosa (rugosa rose) is the source of this 879-nucleotide long non-coding RNA. RefSeq lists it as uncharacterized. The record is from RefSeq and is a predicted model, not a curated record. Lineage: Eukaryota; Viridiplantae; Streptophyta; Magnoliopsida; Rosales; Rosaceae. The transcript is spliced from 3 exons.